UCAGGGUUCCCUGCUAGAUUUUAUCAAAGGCAUUGGGGUACUAUGAAAAAUGAGGUGAUCAAGGCAGUAAAAGAGUUCUUUAGUUCGGGCUUCAUGCCUGAAGGAGUCAAUAAUACUGUUAUAGUGUUAAUACUGAAGAAGGAAAACCCGAGCUCCGUAAAAGACUAUAGACCUAUCAGCCUAUGCAAUGUAGUGUAUAAAAUUGCUUCAAAAUGUUUGGUUAACAGAUUUCGACCACUGCUCCAUGAGUUGAUAGCCCCAGCGCAAAGUGCCUCCAUUCAAGGGCAAACGAUUACGGACAACGCUCUGAUUGCAUUUGAAUGUAUCCAUAGCAUCCAAAAAAGUUCUGAUGCAAAGGGAAAAAUUUGCGCAUACAAAUUAGACCUCGCAAAGGCCUAUGAAAGAGUUGACUAGAAAUAUCUAGAAGGGGCGAUGAGAAGAUUAGGUUUUGCUGAUAAAUGGAUACAAUGGAUCAUGACGUGUGUCAAAACAGUGAAUUAUUCUGUCCGCUUCAACGAGAACCUGUUGAAGAGCUUCACUCCUGCAUGUGGUUUAAGACAGGGAGAUCCACUUUCCCCUUAUUUUCUCUUUGUCGCUGAUGGGCUCUCACGUCUAAUACAUAGUAAGGUGGAAGCUGGUGAAAUACAGGAGCUGCAAAUUUGUCGACAAAACCCUAGCAUUUCACAUCUUCUAUUUGCGGAUGACAACCUGUUAUUUUUUAAGGCAAACAGUGAUCAAGCCAAUAAGGUGAAGAACAUCCUGAACAACUAUGAGAGAGCCACUGGACAGCUAAUCAGUCCAUCUAAAUGCUCCCUGCUCCUUUGUAACGCAUGAUCACAAGAGGAUGGUCAGGAAGUAAUAAAUAUCCUGAAUGUAGUGACGGUGAGUUUUGAGGAGAAAUACUUGGGCUUGCUGGUUCCAGAAGGACGUAUGAUAAAAGAGAAAUUCAAACAAACAAAGAUAAAGCGACAAAUGAAUGAUUGCACCGAAAAAUAUUCUUCUAGUGGAGCCAAGGAGACACUAAUUAAACCAGUGGUUCAAGCGAUCCCCACCUUUGCAAUGAGUGUUUUCAAGUUCUCAACAAUCCUUCGUGAGGAGCUCAUGCACAUGUCCAAGGAGUUUUGGUGGGGAGAUGAUAAAGAUCGCCGACAGAUCCACUGGUCGAGUUGGGAGAAACUUACAAAACGAAAAAGCCAAGGAGGUAUGGGAUUCAAAGACCUUAAAGUUUUUAACCAGGCUCUCCUCGCUAGGCAAGCUUGGCGACUUAUUGCACAUCCCGACAGCUUGUGCACGAGAGUACUUAAGGCAAAAUACUACCAUGGGGCUGAUCUGCUAGACAUGAUGUUUAUUCACAAUGCUCGCCGGGUUGGCAGGGCGUCAUGCAUGGUUUGGAAAUCCUUAAAAAAAGGAUGUAUCUGGCGCAUCUGCAAUGCAAAUAGUGUCCGCAUUUGGAGAGAUAAUUGGAUCCCGAGAGGAAACAUGAAAGUAAACACAAAUCCGACAAACUCCCGAACCUGUUGGGUAGCGGACCUCAUCGAUCAGGAGAGUCACUCCUGGAAGGAAGAUAAUAUCAGGCAUAUAUUUACACGCAAAGACGCAAAUGAUAUUUUGAGUAUCCGACUCCCAAAUUAUGAUGAAGAUGAUUAUAUUGCCUGGCAGCUAGAAAAGAACGGAAUUUUCACCAUUUGUACCACAUACCAGCUAGCCAUGGACGAAAGUAAUUUUGAGAUGAUUGGAUCCAGCCACAAUACCUCAGGGGAGAAGUAUUUGGAAUAA
This 1776-nucleotide ribosomal RNA is filed under the name Triticum aestivum (bread wheat). RNAcentral describes it as "partial small subunit ribosomal RNA". The record is from RNAcentral. Lineage: Eukaryota; Viridiplantae; Streptophyta; Magnoliopsida; Poales; Poaceae.